This 119-nucleotide ribosomal RNA is filed under the name Pteropus alecto (black flying fox). Lineage: Eukaryota; Metazoa; Chordata; Mammalia; Chiroptera; Pteropodidae. The record is from RNAcentral.
AGCAACAGCCAUACUACCCUGAACAAGCCCGAUCCCGUCUGAUCUUGGAAGCUAAGCAGGGUCGGGCCUGGUUAGUAGUUGGAUGGGAGACCACCUAGGAAGACCAGGUGCUGUAGGCA